Molecule: long non-coding RNA, 473 nt
Organism: Canis lupus familiaris (dog)
Lineage: Eukaryota; Metazoa; Chordata; Mammalia; Carnivora; Canidae
Exons: 2
Source: RefSeq, a predicted model, not a curated record
UGAGGCUGGCGGGCUGACCCGGCUGCUCCAGCUCGCGCCCCGGUAACCACGGCAACCGCAGGCUUCAGGAAUGCGCACUAAUUGAAGGCCGAGCUUCCUCCCACAGUGAUGAGCAACAAGUGAAGCAAAAAUAACAUCUUAGUGCAAAAUUUCCAGUGAACAAUUAAGGCAAACCACCAUCGCGGCGGCGCUGGGCCCCUUUGCUUGUUUCUAGCAAAUGAAUGGAGAUGUGCGCACCCCUGGGUCUCCACGAAUAAAAUGCCAGCUAGCAGCAAGGGUUUCUCAGUGGAAGAAAUGAGCUGACACUGAUUUGCCCCCAGCUUCUCUGGAUCUUCUGUUCUCUUCAAGCCCAAAGAAGAACCUUGAGGGAGGUCAUGUUUAUGGGGUGACCAUCACCAGUUUGACUGCACAAUACAAGUUUAUGCCUGUUGUCUUGACAUAAAUUAUUAAAAGUUUCCCUGUGUCACUCUCAA